RNAcentral lists this long non-coding RNA (258 nucleotides) under Nicotiana benthamiana. RNAcentral describes it as "long non-coding RNA (NBEN_LNC034524)". Lineage: Eukaryota; Viridiplantae; Streptophyta; Magnoliopsida; Solanales; Solanaceae. The record is from RNAcentral.
GAUGGAGCCCCAUAACCACUGGAAAAUGGUCCGAGUCGCCACCCACCGUCCUAACCCUAGUCUUAGCUCCAUCGUACAUGUCCUUGAUUACUCUGUUGUAGGCUUCCGGCACGCUCUUCGCCACCAAGCACCCCCAUAGCACCUCCCUUGGGACCUUGACAUACGCCUUCUCCAAGUCGAUAAGCACCAUGUGCAUGUCCUUCUUCUAAUCCCUGAACUGCUCCACCAGCCUCGUGACAAGGUGGAUAGCUUCUGUAG